Molecule: ribosomal RNA, 492 nt
Filed under: uncultured Glomus
Lineage: Eukaryota; Fungi; Glomeromycota; Glomeromycetes; Glomerales; Glomeraceae
Description: SSU rRNA
Rfam family: Eukaryotic small subunit ribosomal RNA
Source: RNAcentral
AGCAGCCGCGGUAAUUCCAGCUCCAAUAGCGUAUAUUAAAGUUGCUGCAGUUAAAAAGCUCGUAGUUGAAUUUCGGGAUCAAUAUGUUGGUCGUGCCUUGGUACGCACUAGCUCAUUGGUUUCUCCCUUCUGACGAACCAUGAUGUCAUUAAUUUGAUGUCAUGGGGAAUCAGGACUGUUACUUUGAAAAAAUUAGAGUGUUUAAAGCAGGCUCGCGCUUGAAUACAUUAGCAUGGAAUAAUGAAAUAGGACAUUUGAUUCUAUUUUGUUGGUUUCUAGGAUCGAUGUAAUGAUUAAUAGGGAUAGUUGGGGGCAUUAGUAUUCAAUUGUCAGAGGUGAAAUUCUUGGAUUUAUUGAAGACUAACUACUGCGAAAGCAUUUGCCAAGGAUGUUUUCAUUAAUCAAGAACGAAAGUUAGGGUAUCGAAGACGAUCAGAUACCGUCGUAGUCUUAACCAUAAACUAUGCCGACUAGGGAUCGGAUGAUCGUUUU